This 443-nucleotide ribosomal RNA is filed under the name uncultured bacterium. Its description in RNAcentral is "partial 16S ribosomal RNA". It matches the Rfam family "Bacterial small subunit ribosomal RNA", at positions 338 to 795 of the family's 1533-position model. The record is from RNAcentral.
ACUACGGGUGGCAGCAGUGGGGAAUAUUGGGCAAUGGGCGCAAGCCUGACCCAGCAACGCCGCGUGAAGGAAGAAGGCUUUCGGGUUGUAAACUUCUUUUCUCAGGGACGAAGAAAGUGACGGUACCUGAGGAAUAAGCCACGGCUAACUACGUGCCAGCAGCCGCGGUAAUACGUAGGUGGCAAGCGUUAUCCGGAUUUAUUGGGUGGAAAGGGCGUGUAGGCGGGAGCGCAAGUCAGAUGUGAAAACUCAGGGCUCAACCCUGAGCCUGCAUUUGAAACUGGGUUUCUUGAGUGCUGGAGAGGCAAUCGGAAUUCCGGGUGUAGCGGUGAAAUGCGUAGAUAUACGGAGGAACACCAGUGGCGAAGGCGGAUUGCUGGACAGUAACUGACGCUGAGGCGCGAAAGCGUGGGGAGCAAACAGGAUUAGAUACCCUUGUAGUC